This 497-nucleotide ribosomal RNA is filed under the name uncultured bacterium. RNAcentral describes it as "partial 16S ribosomal RNA". It matches the Rfam family "Bacterial small subunit ribosomal RNA", at positions 28 to 507 of the family's 1533-position model. The record is from RNAcentral.
GAUGAACGCUGGCGGCGUGCCUAAUACAUGCAAGUCGAGCGAACAGACGAGGAGCUUGCUCCUCUGACGUUAGCGGCGGACGGGUGAGUAACACGUGGAUAACCUACCUAUAAGACUGGGAUAACUUCGGGAAACCGGAGCUAAUACCGGAUAAUCUCUUGAACCGCAUUGUUCAAUCGUAAAAGACGGUUUUGCUGUCUCUUCUCGAUGGUUCCGCGCCGCAUUAGCUAGUUGGUAAGGUAACGGCUUACCAAGGCAACGAUGCGUAGCCGACCUGAGAGGGUGAUCGGCCACACUGGAACUGAGACACGGUCCAGACGCCUACGGGAGGCAGCAGUAGGGAAUCUUCCGCAAUGGGCGAAAGCCUGACGGAGCAACGCCGCGUGAGUGAUGAAGGUCUUCGGAUCGUAAAACUCUGUUAUUAGGGAAGAACAAAUGUGUAAGUAACUAUGCACGUCUUGACGGUACCUAAUCAGAAAGCCACGGCUAACUACGUG